CGCGUGAGGAACCUGCCUUUCAGAGGGGGACAACAGCUGGAAACGGCUGCUAAUACCGCAUAACACAUAGGUGUCGCAUAGCAUUUAUGUCAAAGAUUUAUCGCUGAGAGAUGGCCUCGCGUCUGAUUAGCUAGUUGGUAGGGUAACGGCCUACCAAGGCGACGAUCAGUAGCCGGACUGAGAGGUUGGCCGGCCACAUUGGGACUGAGAUACGGCCCAGACUCCUACGGAAGGCAGCAG
RNAcentral lists this ribosomal RNA (240 nucleotides) under uncultured bacterium. RNAcentral describes it as "partial 16S ribosomal RNA". It matches the Rfam family "Bacterial small subunit ribosomal RNA", at positions 114 to 354 of the family's 1533-position model. The record is from RNAcentral.